This 253-nucleotide ribosomal RNA is filed under the name uncultured bacterium. RNAcentral describes it as "partial 16S ribosomal RNA". It matches the Rfam family "Bacterial small subunit ribosomal RNA", at positions 524 to 776 of the family's 1533-position model. The record is from RNAcentral.
UACGUAGGGGGCAAGCGUUGUCCGGAUUUAUUGGGCGUAAAGAGCGUGUAGGCGGCCUGAAAGGUCAGCUGUGAAAACUCGAGGCUCAACCUCGAGACGUCGGUUGAAACCAUCUGGCUAGAGUCCGGAAGAGGAGUGUGGAAUUCCCGGUGUAGCGGUGAAAUGCGCAGAUAUCGGGAAGAACACCCGUGGCGAAGGCGGCACUCUGGGACGGUACUGACGCUGAGACGCGAAAGCGUGGGGAGCAAACGGG